This 460-nucleotide ribosomal RNA is filed under the name uncultured bacterium. RNAcentral's name for it is "partial 16S ribosomal RNA". It matches the Rfam family "Bacterial small subunit ribosomal RNA", at positions 338 to 795 of the family's 1533-position model. The record is from RNAcentral.
CCUACGGGGUGCAGCAGCGAGGAAUAUUGGUCAAUGGACGAGAGUCUGAACCAGCCAAGUAGCGUGAAGGAUGACUGCCCUAUGGGUUGUAAACUUCUUUUAUAAAGGAAUAAAACGAGGCACGUGUGCCUUUUUGCAUGUACUUUAUGAAUAAGGAUCGGCUAACUCCGUGCCAGCAGCCGCGGUAAUAAGGAGGAUCCGAGCGUUAUCCGGAUGUAUUGGGUUUAAAGGGAGCGUAGAUGGGUUGUUAAGUCAGUUGUGAAAGUUUGCGGCUCAACCGUAAAAUUGCAAUUGAUACUGGCAGUCUUGAGUACAGUUGAGGUAGGCGGAAUUCGUGGUGUAGCGGUGAAAUGCUGAGAUAUCACGAAGAACCCCGAUUGCGAAGGCAGCUUACUAAACUGUGACUGACAUUGAUGCUCGAAAGUGUGGGUAUCAAACAGGAUUAGAUACCCGGGUAGUC